This is a long non-coding RNA of Oncorhynchus keta (chum salmon), 331 nucleotides long. RefSeq lists it as uncharacterized. The record is from RefSeq and is a predicted model, not a curated record. NCBI's taxonomy places the organism in Eukaryota, Metazoa, Chordata, Actinopteri, Salmoniformes, Salmonidae. The transcript has 3 exons.
UGCACAGCCUUUCCUCUACAGGGAGCCAGGUUCUGCUGUUGUUCAGUGGUUACACAGCCUUUCCUCUACAGGGAGCCAGGUUCUGCUGUUGUUCAGUGGUUGCACAGCCUUUCCUCUACAGGGAGCCAGGUUCUGCUGUUGUUCAGUGGUUGCACAGCCUUUCCUCUACAGGGAGCCAGGUUCUGCUGUUGUUCAGUGGUUGCACAGCCUUUCCUCUACAGGGAGCCAGGUUCUGCUGUUGUACAGUGGUUGCACAGCCUUUCCUCUACAGGGAGCCAGGUUCUGCUGUUGUUCAGUGGUUGCACAGCCUUUCCUCUACAGGGAGCCAGAU